This 327-nucleotide unclassified non-coding RNA is filed under the name soil metagenome. RNAcentral describes it as "partial contains 5.8S ribosomal RNA, internal transcribed spacer 2, and large subunit ribosomal RNA". The stretch from base 1 to 120 matches the Rfam family "5.8S ribosomal RNA", at positions 35 to 154 of the family's 154-position model. The record is from RNAcentral.
GAUGAAGAACGCAGCGAAAUGCGAUAAGUAAUGUGAAUUGCAGAAUUCAGUGAAUCAUCGAAUCUUUGAACGCACAUUGCGCCCCUUGGUAUUCCGAGGGGCAUGCCUGUUCGAGCGUCAUUAUAACCCCUCAAGCUCAGCUUGGUGUUGGGGCCUGCUGCACUGGCAGCCCUUAAAAUCAGUGGCGGCGCCAUCUGGCUCUAAGCGUAGUAAUUCUUCUCGCUAUGGAGUCCUGGUGGAUGCUUGCCAUCAACCCCCAAUUUUUCUAUGGUUGACCUCGGAUCAGGUAGGGAUACCCGCUGAACUUAAGCAUAUCAUAACGGAGGA